Camelina sativa (false flax) is the source of this 2187-nucleotide RNA transcript. It is a transcript of the gene named branched-chain-amino-acid aminotransferase-like protein 1, with no coding region annotated. Lineage: Eukaryota; Viridiplantae; Streptophyta; Magnoliopsida; Brassicales; Brassicaceae. The record is from RefSeq and is a predicted model, not a curated record.
ACACACUUUACACUUCACUAGUUCACUUACUUUAGUGGUAUUAUUAAUAACUAAACUUGUAAUCACAGAGACCAGAGUUGAGAGUUCCGCUUUGGUUUGAUCACCGUCUUCAAUGACAGAACCGGAGGUGAUUCACUCAUGGUCUGCACCAAGAUCUCUCAGCACCAGCCUCAUGUACUCCUUUUCUCAGAGAGAUGAUACUGAAGUUGUCGAUGAGCCAUUAUAUGCAGCUUUUCUUAAAGCUACAGGUUUUGAUAGGCCAUACAGAGAUGAUGUUCUCUCCAAGAUGGAGUGCAAUGGAGAUAAAGUUGUGAAAGAUGUCAUAUAUGGAUCAGGAUCAAAGAAGUACCGGUAUUGUAAGCAUAUCUCGAAACAAAGGCUUUUUGGUUUGCCAAGUGAACUGAUGAGUAAAGGAAAGCAUUUCAUAUUGAUCCGCAAUCCUCUUAACAUUCUGCCUUCUUUUGAGAAGGUACACCCUCCAUCAUUUCUCGAGUUAGGCUUGGGGGAGUUAGUCUCUAUAUACAGUGAUCUAUGUCAGAUGGGAACUCAACCGGCAGUCAUCGAUGCUGAUGAGCUUCAGCGAGAUCCUGAGACCACAUUACGCGGUCUUUGCGAUGAUCUGGAGAUUCCAUUUCAAGCUUCUAUGCUUAAAUGGGAAGCUGGCCCUAUACCAGAAGAUGGAGGAUGGGCACCAUGGUGGUACAAGAGUGUGCAUAAAUCAACUGGUUUCUCGUCUCCAGAAAAGUGUCCUCGGUCAUUCCCUCUGUCUCAUUACGAUUUGUUGGAGCAAAGUCUACCCCUUUACAACAUUCUUAGGAGCCAUGUGAAGCACAGGUCCUCCCUAUUGAGCAGUCCCUUGCCUCCUCCUAGUCUCCCAGUUCCUGAAAAUGCAAAACUUCUUGCAUGGGUCGGUGAUGAGAUUCUGCCUCGUGAUAUGGCAAAGGUUUCUGUAUUUGACUCGGUUGUACAAGGCGGUGACUCGGUAUGGGAAGGACUUCGAAUUUACAAAGGGAAGAUAUUCAAACUUGAGGAACAUCUAGAUCGGCUAUUUGAUUCAGCAAAAGCUCUGGCUUUCGAAAAUGUUCCAGCACGUGAAGAGAUAAAAGAAGCAAUCUUCAGAACUCUCAUAGCAAAUGGUAUGUUUGACAAUACACAUAUCAGGUUGUCUCUAACUCGAGGCAAAAAGGUAACUUCUGGAAUGAGCCCUGCGUUUAACCAAUAUGGAUGCACACUUAUUGUGCUUGCCGAAUGGAAGCCUCCGGUAUAUGACAAUGAUGGUGGAAUUGUGUUGGUGACUGCAACUACACGCCGCAAUUCACCUAAUAAUUUGGAUUCCAAGAUUCAUCACAACAACCUUCUCAAUAACAUACUAGCAAAGAUUGAAAGUAACAAUGUGAAUGCUGCGGACGCCAUUAUGCUUGACAAGGAUGGUUAUGUUUCUGAAACCAAUGCAACAAACAUUUAUUUACUUUUUGUAAUACAGUUCAUGGUGAAGAAAGGCUGUGUUCUUACUCCUCACGCAGAUUACUGUCUCCCUGGGAUAACCAGAACUACUGUCAUGGAGCUUGUGGUGAAAGAGAAGUUCAUCUUAGUAGAACGAAGAAUCAGUCUCUCCGAAUUCCACACAGCUGAUGAGGUUUGGACAACAGGAACUAUGGGAGAACUAAGCCCGGUUGUGAAGAUCGAUGGGCGUGUGAUUGGUGACGGAAAAGUUGGACCGGUAACGAGAACACUGCAAAACGCUUACAAGAAACUCACAGAGGAUUCAGGUGUGCCAAUACCUACUUACCAAGAAACCUGAAAAUACAAAACAAGAGGGAGGGGAUACCAAGUAAGAUUGUGUUGGCCUUCCCCUGCAGUCGUUUCUUCUUACUUCUGUGUUGGCACAAAACGGCGAGUAGUAUAUGCGUGGCGAUGGAACAGUGUGAUCACUUACAUUUGUUGUGUGAGAUAACGCGAUAGGAUUGGGUCGCGUUCUGUGGCCGCCGGAGGGAGUCAUCUUCCUUGAUAAUAAAUUUAACUCACAACGCAGACCCACAGGGGUCCAACUCCAACAACGUUCGCCAAAGUGUUUGUAUUAUGGGAGCCGUAUAUAUUUAUAGAAAACAUUCCAACUAUUCUUUAUUUAAUUUUGUUGGUUUGUCAUCAUUUAUUUUCGUCUUUUAAGAUAAUACUGUCAAAGCUUCA